Molecule: ribosomal RNA, 496 nt
Filed under: uncultured bacterium
Lineage: Bacteria
Description: partial 16S ribosomal RNA
Rfam family: Bacterial small subunit ribosomal RNA
Source: RNAcentral
AUGAACGCUGGCGGCGUGCCUCUUACCUGCAAGUCGCGCGAACGGACGAGAAGCUUGCUUCUCUGAUGUUAGCGGCGGACGGGUGAGUAACACGUGGAUAACCUACCUAUAAGACUGGGAUAACUUCGGGAAACCGGAGCUAAUACCGGAUAAUAUUUUGAACCGCAUGGUUCAAAAGUGAAAGACGGUCUUGCUGUCACUUAUAGAUGGAUCCGCGCUGCAUUAGCUAGUUGGUAAGGUAACGGCUUACCAAGGCAACGAUGCAUAGCCGACCUGAGAGGGUGAUCGGCCACACUGGAACUGAGACACGGUCCAGACUCCUACGGGAGGCAGCAGUAGGGAAUCUUCCGCAAUGGGCGAAAGCCUGACGGAGCAACGCCGCGUGAGUGAUGAAGGUCUUCGGAUCGUAAAACUCUGUUAUUAGGGAAGAACAUAUGUGUAAGUAACUGUGCACAUCUUGACGGUACCUAAUCAGAAAGCCACGGCUAACUACGUG